GGGUCAUAGCGGGUGCUGUCUUCUUCCAUGAUGAUCUGUCCCUCGAUCACGCUCUUCUCUGUUUCAGGGCAUGAAAUACUUGGAGGACCGUCACUUGACCCCUCGCGUCCGGUUCGCCGGGAACCUACUGAUGAAAACCCUGGAUCAAGUCAAGAUUUCAAAAUUUGAGCUCUUGGGUCUGGCAUCGUGGAAGACCGCGGCUAAAUGCCAUAAGUAAUGAGAAUUGCAAAAUUGGUUGAAUCCACGAAUCUUAGAACGUACAUUGCGACCGCCCUUAUUCUGGCGGGAUGCCUGUUCAAGCGUCAUUUCAACCCUCGAGCCCAGCUUGGUGUUGGGACUCGCGAGUCAAAUCGCGUUCCCCAAAUUGAUUGGCGGUCACGUCGAGCUUCCAUAGCGUAGUAGUAAAACCCUCGUUACUGGUAAUCGUCGCGGCCACGCCGUUAAACCCCAACUUCUGAAUGUUGACCUCGGAUCAGGUAGGAAUACCCGCUGAACUUAAGCAUAUCAAAUAAGCGGAGGAA
RNAcentral lists this ribosomal RNA (521 nucleotides) under Fusarium fujikuroi. Its description in RNAcentral is "eukaryotic LSU rRNA". The stretch from base 153 to 305 matches the Rfam family "5.8S ribosomal RNA". The record is from RNAcentral. RNAcentral also lists the same sequence under 1 other name. Lineage: Eukaryota; Fungi; Ascomycota; Sordariomycetes; Hypocreales; Nectriaceae.